RNAcentral lists this ribosomal RNA (833 nucleotides) under uncultured Planctomycetales bacterium. RNAcentral describes it as "bacterial SSU rRNA". It matches the Rfam family "Bacterial small subunit ribosomal RNA", at positions 46 to 832 of the family's 1533-position model. The record is from RNAcentral. Lineage: Bacteria; Pseudomonadati; Planctomycetota; Planctomycetia; Planctomycetales.
GGAUUAGGCAUGCAAGUCGAACGAGGAAGUGCCCCGUAAGGGGCGCAAGCCUAGUGGCGAAAGGGUGAGUAAUGCAUUGAUAACCUGCCUUUGAGAUGGGAAUAACUGCGUUUCGAGCAAUCGGAACUACCGAAAGGGCUGCUAAUACCCAAUAAUACUAUAGGUGCAAAAGCACUUGUGGUCAAAUGCUAGGAAUCCUGUUCCUUGUGCUUAAAGAGGGGUUAAUGUCCUAUCAGCUAGUUGGUGGGGUAAUGGCCUACCAAGGCAAAGACGGGUAGCCGGCUUGAGAGGGUGGUCGGCCACACUGGGACUGAGACACUGCCCAGACUCCUACGGGAGGCUGCAGUCGAGAAUCUUUCGCAAUGCCCGAAAGGGUGACGAAGCGACGCCGCGUGUGGGAAGAAGGCCUUCGGGUUGUAAACCACUGUCGGGAGUUAGGAAAUGCAGGUGCGUUAAUAGCGCACUUGCUUGACUAAGGCUCCAGAGGAAGCCACGGCUAACUCUGUGCCAGCAGCCGCGGUAAUACAGAGGCGGCAAGCGUUGUUCGGAAUUAUUGGGCGUAAAGAGCACGUAGGCGGCCUUGCAAGUCAGUUGUGAAAGCCUUCCGCUUAACGGAAGAACGGCAUCUGAUACUACAGGGCUUGAGUACGGGAGGGGAGAGUGGAACUUCUGGUGGAGCGGUGAAAUGCGUAGAUAUCAGAAGGAACGCCGGCGGCGAAAGCGACUCUCUGGUCCGAAACUGACGCUGAGUGUGCGAAAGCUAGGGGAGCAAACGGGAUUAGAUACCCCGGUAGUCCUAGCCGUAAACGAUGGGCACUAAGUAGAGGGGUUUU